This 320-nucleotide ribosomal RNA is filed under the name uncultured eukaryote. RNAcentral describes it as "partial 18S ribosomal RNA". It matches the Rfam family "Eukaryotic small subunit ribosomal RNA", at positions 1470 to 1796 of the family's 1831-position model. The record is from RNAcentral.
CCCUUAGAUGUUCUGGGCCGCACGCGCGCAACACUGACGAAGUCAGCGAGCAUGUCCUACGCCGACAGGUGCGGGGAAUCUUGUCAAACUUCGUCGUGAUGGGGAUUGAUUAUUGAAAUUCUUGAUCAUCAACGAGGAAUUCCUAGUAAGCGCAAGUCAGCAGCUUGCGUUGAUUACGUCCCUGCCCUUUGUACACACCGCCCGUCGCUACUACCGAUUGAAUGGUCCGGUGAAAUCUCGGGACGGCGGCUUGGUCGCUUGCGUCCGACUGCUGAAACUUGAUUAAACCAUAUCAUUUAGAGGAAGGUGAAGUCGUAACA